CUAAUACUCCCUUCGUUUCAAAUUAGUUGACUUGAAUUUGCUUAAAUACAGAUGUAUCUAUACUUGUUCAGUGUCUAGAUACAUUUGUAUCUGGAUAAAUAUGGGUCAAGUAAUUUGGAAUGGAGGGAGUAGAAG
Non-coding RNA from Triticum aestivum (bread wheat), 135 nucleotides. The record is from Rfam. Lineage: Eukaryota; Viridiplantae; Streptophyta; Magnoliopsida; Poales; Poaceae.